UUUUUUUUUAAGAUUUUAUUUAUUUAUUCAUGAGAGAGAGAGAGAGAAAGAUGCAGAGACACAAGCAGACUGCAUGCAAGGAGCCUGAUGCGGGACUUGAACCUGGGAAUCCAGGAUCACACCCUGAGCCAAAGGCAGGUGCCCAACCACUGAGCCACACAGGCGUCCCUAUUAGUUUCCUUUGAUGGUCUCAUAUUUACUUGGAUUUUGUUAUCUUUGAUUUCUUACAUUGGUAUCUGCACACUUGAAUAAUUUGGCUCCUCUUCUAGACUCUAUAGAUUUGCUUUGGCAGAGAUAGAUCUUCAAUAGUCACCUCAGUUUAGGUCACUGGGCAGGUGGUACCCGCUAUUAUGGUCUAGUUUUUGGCAAGGCAACUUUCCAAGCUCUAAGUUUGGGUAUAGGGAAAGAGGUGGAAAUCUGUAGGAUGGGCCCCCCCCCCCGCAGUUGCAUGAAUUUUCCAUCUGGCUUACUAGAUGGUCUGGACUGGGUUCUAUAUUUAGUAGACAGGGCUGUAAAUUCAUUUCCCUUCACUAACAGGGGAGGACCCAGUGUCCGCAUGGCUCAUUUGAGGGUACCUGAAUCAACACAAGAGUGUGCACUGAAUUUCUUGGUCAUCUGCUCUGCAGAUGUAGAAAGCCAUGGGCUGUUCUCUCUUUUUUCAAGUGCAGCUAGAAGCAGAGCUUUUGGAUGGCCUGUACAGCAGCUCCCCAUGCGGUCUUGUUAGGUUCCCAGGUCACAAAAGCUGAAGGCUAUAUUAAUAUAAUUGGGGCCGUGAAUUAGUUUCUCUGCCCAGGAGCAGUGGGAGGGGCACCUUUAAAGGCAAUAAAGCUCUUUGUGUGUUAUCUUAUCCUGACCUGUGUCCCAAGUUCCCUGGCCAAAUAUGAGCCACUGGCUUUGUUCUGCUCACUGUUGUAUAUGCCUGUCUGUCUCUUGGCUACAGUAUUGCUGGCUUUUUGUAGCUCCCUUUUUUCACCAGCCCUUCUGGUCAGGUGGGGCUGGGAGAUGCUAUCCUCAGUGGUGGGGCUGUUUUAGUUCCCUUUUCUGAAUGGGAUGGAGAGGUGCUGCUCCAGGCUUCUCUGCUUUUCUGUCUUUUGACUCAGUAAGAGCCAGAAGCUACUCUCUACCUUGGCUAUGAGUUAAUUCCUCUGCCUAGGUACAGCAGGCCACCCCUCGACACCUGGUACUGGCUUUGCUCUAGACAGUUAGCUCUGCCUUUCUGCUUAUUGGCUUACACAUUGUUGGUUACAGAGCUUCCAGAUAUCCUUGCCAGCCCUUCUGGUCAGAUGGGGCCUGGGAGCCACAGUGGGUGUGGCUGUGUUUCAGGUUACUUGCUUGGGUGGGGUUGGGAGGGGUGCCUCCUGGCCUUGCUCACAUGUUCCCCAAACGAGUUUUUCUUAUGGGUGAGGCCAUGAUGCACCCUCAGCCUUCGCUGUGAAUUAAUUCCCCUGCCUGGGUGCAGCAGGGGAAUUUUUCAUACCCUGUACUGGCUUUGCCUCGGGGACUGUCCGAACCACCCACACACCUCUUGGUUGGAGUAUUGCUGAGCUAUACAGCUUUUAGGUUUUCUUGUCAGUGCCCUCUGGCAAGAUGGACCAGAAGACAGUUUCCCCAGCAAAUGGAGCUACAACUCCUUGCUUGGAUACAGUUUCUAGAGUCAGCAAAACUUGUAUGAGAACCCAAAUCAAGCAGAUAUGUACUCCAGUGAGUUCUCUGGUCACAGUUUGUCCCAGACUUGGUUCUGGUGAUGAGCAAAGCUGCUGGUUGGAGCCACUACUUGGAUUACUAAUCACUUGGGGAGUUGUAGUCAUGAAUUGCAUCUGCCAAGAUCUGUGUGUUGGUUAUUGCAAGCCUCACAGUUUCCCCUGCAAUUCUCAUGGCACGAGACCAGAGUAGGGGCUCUCAUGAAGUAAUCUGCAGUGGUGGUGGU
This 1927-nucleotide long non-coding RNA is filed under the name Canis lupus familiaris (dog). Its description in RNAcentral is "lncRNA (ENSCAFG00845012748.1)". Lineage: Eukaryota; Metazoa; Chordata; Mammalia; Carnivora; Canidae. The record is from RNAcentral.